This 410-nucleotide ribosomal RNA is filed under the name Mandarina aureola. RNAcentral describes it as "partial 16S ribosomal RNA". The record is from RNAcentral. Lineage: Eukaryota; Metazoa; Mollusca; Gastropoda; Stylommatophora; Camaenidae.
AGUUUUGAGCUAAAUAUAUUUAUAAUAUUAGUUAUUCAUGAAGGUGUUGUAAAAUCUUUAUUUAAAAUUAUAUUUAGGGGUGAUAGGCCUUUCAAAAACUAAGAUAUCUUGAAUCUAAUUAAAAGUAUGUAGUACAAUUAACACAACUAUUAAGUGAUUAGGCUUUAUAGAAUUAUUAACUUAUAAGAUUUUAUUUACUAUAAUUUAAUAAUUAAGUACAUAAAUAUAUUAAUAUUCAUAUAUUAUAGUUUAUAAAAGAGUAAUUAGAUAGAUUUAAGUUCAUAUUUCUUAUAAUAAUGUUAAUAUUAGUAUUAAGUUUAUAUUUAUAUGAUGAACUCGGCAAAAAUACUUUCUCAACUGUUUAUCAAAAACAUAACUAUGUGAUUGAAUACAUAGCGGUUUCUGCUCAA